This 243-nucleotide long non-coding RNA is filed under the name Hordeum vulgare. RNAcentral's name for it is "long non-coding RNA (HVUL_LNC007121)". The record is from RNAcentral. Lineage: Eukaryota; Viridiplantae; Streptophyta; Magnoliopsida; Poales; Poaceae.
UGGUAGUUCGGGCCUGUCACCCCAUGCUUUGGGGGGCAGGAGUUGACUGAGGUGGCGUUUAUACAGGGCCCGUUUGUUCACGGGUUGUUUCAGUCCUGCGCUUGAAAAGUGCAGCAUUGCUAACCUAAGGGCCGUUGUGCGUGCCGGAGGUGUCGAGGAUGGUGGCCCUUUGAGGCCGGGCAACCCCGGCCUGCAACCACCAUGGCCUGCCUGUCAAAAGCGCGCCCCUAUGUCAGCUCCUUA